Molecule: ribosomal RNA, 253 nt
Filed under: uncultured bacterium
Lineage: Bacteria
Description: partial 16S ribosomal RNA
Rfam family: Bacterial small subunit ribosomal RNA
Source: RNAcentral
UACAGAGGGGGCAAGCGUUGUUCGGAAUUACUGGGCGUAAAGGGCGCGUAGGCGGCCACCUAAGUCAGACGUGAAAUCCCUCGGCUCAACCGGGGAACUGCGUCUGAGACUGGGCGGCUUGAAUCCGGGAGAGGGAUGUGGAAUUCCAGGUGUAGCGGUGAAAUGCGUAGAUAUCUGGAGGAACACCGGUGGCGAAGGCGGAUCUCUGGACAGUUACUGACACUGAGGCACGAAGGCCAGGGGAGCAAACGGG